RNAcentral lists this small RNA (29 nucleotides) under Bombyx mori (domestic silkworm). RNAcentral's name for it is "ovarian small RNA-26651". Lineage: Eukaryota; Metazoa; Arthropoda; Insecta; Lepidoptera; Bombycidae. The record is from RNAcentral.
UCCACCCAACGGGGGUGGGAAAUGGGUCC